RNAcentral lists this transfer RNA (76 nucleotides) under Syntrophaceae bacterium. RNAcentral describes it as "tRNA-Val". It matches the Rfam family "tRNA". Rfam says of the family: Transfer RNA (tRNA) molecules are approximately 80 nucleotides in length. Their secondary structure includes four short double-helical elements and three loops (D, anti-codon, and T loops). Further hydrogen bonds mediate the characteristic L-shaped molecular structure. tRNAs have two regions of fundamental functional importance: the anti-codon, which is responsible for specific mRNA codon recognition, and the 3' end, to which the tRNAs corresponding amino acid is attached (by aminoacyl-tRNA synthetases). tRNAs cope with the degeneracy of the genetic code in two manners: having more than one tRNA (with a specific anti-codon) for a particular amino acid; and 'wobble' base-pairing, i.e. permitting non-standard base-pairing at the 3rd anti-codon position. The record is from RNAcentral. Lineage: Bacteria; Pseudomonadati; Thermodesulfobacteriota; Syntrophia; Syntrophales; Syntrophaceae.
GGGCGGAUAGCUCAGCUGGAAGAGCGCCUGCCUUACACGCAGGAGGUCACAGGUUCAAGCCCUGUUCCGCCUACCA